AUUGAACGCUGGCGGCAUGCCUUACACAUGCAAGUCGAACGGCAGCACGGGUGCUUGCACCUGGUGGCGAGUGGCGAACGGGUGAGUAAUACAUCGGAACGUACCUUAUCGUGGGGGAUAACGCAGCGAAAGCUGUGCUAAUACCGCAUAAGCCCUGAGGGGGAAAGCGGGGGAUCGAAAGACCCCGCGCGAUUAGAGCGGCCGAUGCCUGAUUAGCUUGUUGGUGGGGUAAAAGCCCACCAAGGCGACGAUCAGUAGCUGGUCUGAGAGGACGAUCAGCCACACUGGGACUGAGACACGGCCCAGACUCCUACGGGAGGCAGCAGUGGGGAAUUUUGGACAAUGGGGGCAACCCUGAUCCAGCAAUGCCGCGUGAGUGAAGAAGGCCUUCGGGUUGUAAAGCUCUUUUGUCAGGGAAGAAACACCGGCUCUAACACAGUCCGGGAAUGACGGUACCUGGAGAAUAAGCACCGGCUAACUACGUGCCAGCCGCCGCCGUAA
RNAcentral lists this ribosomal RNA (501 nucleotides) under uncultured bacterium. Its description in RNAcentral is "partial 16S ribosomal RNA". It matches the Rfam family "Bacterial small subunit ribosomal RNA", at positions 29 to 523 of the family's 1533-position model. The record is from RNAcentral.